ACUUAAAUUGAAGAGUUUGAUCAUGGCUCAGAUUGAACGCUGGCGGCAGGCCUAACACAUGCAAGUCGAGCGGUAGCACAGAGAGCUUGCUCUCGGGUGACGAGCGGCGGACGGGUGAGUAAUGUCUGGGAAACUGCCUGAUGGAGGGGGAUAACUACUGGAAACGGUAGCUAAUACCGCAUAACGUCGCAAGACCAAAGUGGGGGACCUUCGGGCCUCAUGCCAUCAGAUGUGCCCAGAUGGGAUUAGCUAGUAGGUGAGGUAACGGCUCACCUAGGCGACGAUCCCUAGCUGGUCUGAGAGGAUGACCAGCCACACUGGAACUGAGACACGGUCCAGACUCCUACGGGAGGCAGCAGUGGGGAAUAUUGCACAAUGGGCGCAAGCCUGAUGCAGCCAUGCCGCGUGUGUGAAGAAGGCCUUCGGGUUGUAAAGCACUUUCAGCGGGGAGGAAGGCGGUGAGGUUAAUAACCUCAUCGAUUGACGUUACCCGCAGAAGAAGCACCGGCUAACUCCGUGCCAGCAGCCGCGGUAAUACGGAGGGUGCAAGCGUUAAUCGGAAUUACUGGGCGUAAAGCGCACGCAGGCGGUCUGUCAAGUCGGAUGUGAAAUCCCCGGGCUCAACCUGGGAACUGCAUUCGAAACUGGCAGGCUAGAGUCUUGUAGAGGGGGGUAGAAUUCCAGGUGUAGCGGUGAAAUGCGUAGAGAUCUGGAGGAAUACCGGUGGCGAAGGCGGCCCCCUGGACAAAGACUGACGCUCAGGUGCGAAAGCGUGGGGAGCAAACAGGAUUAGAUACCCUGGUAGUCCACGCCGUAAACGAUGUCGAUUUGGAGGUUGUGCCCUUGAGGCGUGGCUUCCGGAGCUAACGCGUUAAAUCGACCGCCUGGGGAGUACGGCCGCAAGGUUAAAACUCAAAUGAAUUGACGGGGGCCCGCACAAGCGGUGGAGCAUGUGGUUUAAUUCGAUGCAACGCGAAGAACCUUACCUGGUCUUGACAUCCACAGAACUUUCCAGAGAUGGAUUGGUGCCUUCGGGAACUGUGAGACAGGUGCUGCAUGGCUGUCGUCAGCUCGUGUUGUGAAAUGUUGGGUUAAGUCCCGCAACGAGCGCAACCCUUAUCCUUUGUUGCCAGCGGUCCGGCCGGGAACUCAAAGGAGACUGCCAGUGAUAAACUGGAGGAAGGUGGGGAUGACGUCAAGUCAUCAUGGCCCUUACGACCAGGGCUACACACGUGCUACAAUGGCAUAUACAAAGAGAAGCGACCUCGCGAGAGCAAGCGGACCUCAUAAAGUAUGUCGUAGUCCGGAUUGGAGUCUGCAACUCGACUCCAUGAAGUCGGAAUCGCUAGUAAUCGUAGAUCAGAAUGCUACGGUGAAUACGUUCCCGGGCCUUGUACACACCGCCCGUCACACCAUGGGAGUGGGUUGCAAAAGAAGUAGGUAGCUUAACCUUCGGGAGGGCGCUUACCACUUUGUGAUUCAUGACUGGGGUGAAGUCGUAACAAGGUAACCGUAGGGGAACCUGCGGUUGGAUCACCUCCUUACCUUAAAGAA
RNAcentral lists this ribosomal RNA (1554 nucleotides) under Klebsiella pneumoniae. RNAcentral describes it as "bacterial SSU rRNA". It matches the Rfam family "Bacterial small subunit ribosomal RNA". The record is from RNAcentral. Lineage: Bacteria; Pseudomonadati; Pseudomonadota; Gammaproteobacteria; Enterobacterales; Enterobacteriaceae.